GGAAGGGUGGCCCAGCGGUUAGAGCACUCAGCUAGGACUUGGGAGAAGCGGGUCCAAGCUCCUGCUCCUCCCC
This 73-nucleotide transfer RNA is filed under the name Pelodiscus sinensis (Chinese soft-shelled turtle). It matches the Rfam family "tRNA". From Rfam's summary of the family: Transfer RNA (tRNA) molecules are approximately 80 nucleotides in length. Their secondary structure includes four short double-helical elements and three loops (D, anti-codon, and T loops). Lineage: Eukaryota; Metazoa; Chordata; Testudines; Trionychidae. The record is from Rfam by way of RNAcentral.